GGUUUAUUAGGCCUGAACCUCUGCUGCUGAACAAAAGCACCAGGCAGAAUCCACCUAGAAGUGCCAUGGUAACGGGCUGAAGGGAUGCUGUCUGCAGUGCUGCAGGUGCUCUGCCUGCAGCUGCUCUAGGAGCCUGGGGUGAUGCUCUGUUGUGUGCUGUGGGAGCCCACUUGGUCCUGAGGCUUUGCAAAUCAUGUUCAAG
Ficedula albicollis (Collared flycatcher) is the source of this 202-nucleotide long non-coding RNA. RefSeq lists it as uncharacterized. The record is from RefSeq and is a predicted model, not a curated record. The transcript is spliced from 3 exons. Lineage: Eukaryota; Metazoa; Chordata; Aves; Passeriformes; Muscicapidae.